UCAAAGGCUCUUUUAAGAGCCACCCAUCUUUUCUGGGAAGUGCUG
Molecule: regulatory RNA element, 45 nt
Organism: Felis catus (domestic cat)
Lineage: Eukaryota; Metazoa; Chordata; Mammalia; Carnivora; Felidae
Rfam family: Histone 3' UTR stem-loop
About the family: The mRNAs of metazoan histone genes lack a poly-A tail. 3' end processing occurs at a site between a highly conserved stem-loop (modelled by this family) and a purine rich region around 20 nts downstream (the histone downstream element, or HDE). The stem-loop is bound by a 31 kDa stem-loop binding protein (SLBP - also termed the histone hairpin binding protein, or HBP).
Source: Rfam